AAUAUUACGGAGCAAAACGCAGUUAUUGUGGCGGUCGCUCUUCAUACAUUCGUGUACCCGCAUGACACGAUUCACUAGAAUGAUGCAUCUUCAAUUAACACCGGAUCUACGAAUGAAAUAGAGGGAGAGAGAACAGAACCAUAGCUGAGCACAGUCCUGGUAAUGCUUCAAUGGAUGCUGAUUUAACCACUACCGAGAUCAUGUCGGAGGUGAUACAUGAGAACAGUACGGCACUACUGCGAGAAUUUAACAAACAUUCGAAUUCGCUAGCGAUAAAAUGUUCAACAUGAAUGUUUCAAUUUCAUCAUUUGUUUUUGUUUUAUGUGAAAUAUUAUUAAAGUCGCCUGCCCAAGAGCAACACGUUAUA
Long non-coding RNA from Toxorhynchites rutilus septentrionalis, 367 nucleotides. RefSeq lists it as uncharacterized. Lineage: Eukaryota; Metazoa; Arthropoda; Insecta; Diptera; Culicidae. The transcript is spliced from 2 exons. The record is from RefSeq and is a predicted model, not a curated record.